RNAcentral lists this ribosomal RNA (274 nucleotides) under uncultured bacterium. Its description in RNAcentral is "partial 16S ribosomal RNA". It matches the Rfam family "Bacterial small subunit ribosomal RNA", at positions 523 to 796 of the family's 1533-position model. The record is from RNAcentral.
CUACGGAGGGUGCAAGCGUUACUCGGAAUCACUGGGCGUAAAGCGCGCGCAGGCGGUCUUUUAAGUUGGAUGUGAAAGCCUACGGCUCAACCGUAGAACUGCAUCCAAAACUAUUAGACUAGAGUGUGGGAGAGGAAGAUGGAAUUAGUUGUGUAGGGGUAAAAUCCGUAGAGAUAACUAGGAAUACCAAAAGCGAAGGCAAUCUUCUGGAACACUACUGACGCUGAGGCGCGAAGGCGUGGGGAGCAAACAGGAUUAGAAACCCGAGUAGUCC